GUUAAUGUAGCUUAAUAAAAGCAAAGCACUGAAAAUGCUUAGAUGAGCUUCCUAGCUCCAUAAACA
This 66-nucleotide transfer RNA is filed under the name Lepus mandshuricus (Manchurian hare). RNAcentral describes it as "tRNA-Phe". It matches the Rfam family "tRNA". Rfam says of the family: Transfer RNA (tRNA) molecules are approximately 80 nucleotides in length. Their secondary structure includes four short double-helical elements and three loops (D, anti-codon, and T loops). The record is from RNAcentral. Lineage: Eukaryota; Metazoa; Chordata; Mammalia; Lagomorpha; Leporidae. RNAcentral also lists the same sequence under 1 other name.